AGGGCGCAGGAGGCGAUCUUCAGAGGUACUUCUGCAGGACCUGCUAGAUAGUCAGGAGGAGAGAUCAAGAGAUGACGAUGACAACCCACGUUGGAUAUCUGACAUUGUAUAAUCUCUCAGAGAGUCCCAACGUACUUGUUGUGUUCCAACUGCAUGUGGCUGGCUCAAUCAGUCCCGACUGUGGACUUAAUUAAUACAAUUUCCAUUCUUUUAUGUUUAUGUAUAGCUUAUUAAAUAUUAUAUUUAUGGUUU
Molecule: long non-coding RNA, 252 nt
Organism: Macrosteles quadrilineatus (aster leafhopper)
Lineage: Eukaryota; Metazoa; Arthropoda; Insecta; Hemiptera; Cicadellidae
Exons: 2
Source: RefSeq, a predicted model, not a curated record